AAUCAACGCUGGUGGCGUGCCUAACACAUGCAAGUCGAACGAGAAAGUGGAGCAAUCCAUGAGUAAAGUGGCGCACGGGUGAGUAACACGUGACUAACCUACCCUUGAGUGGGGAUAACCUAGGGAAACCUGGGCUAAUACCGCAUAAUAUCGCGAGAUCAAAGGAGCAAUUCGCUUAAGGAGGGGGUCGCGGCUGAUUAGCUAGUUGGUGGGGUAAUGGCCCACCAAGGCUGUGAUCAGUAUCCGGCCUGAGAGGGCGCACGGACACACUGGAACUGAAACACGGUCCAGACUCCUACGGGAGGCAGCAGUGGGAAUUUGCGCAAUGGGGGAAACCCUGACGCAGCAACGCCGCGUGGAGAUGAAGUCCCUUGGGACGUAAACUCCUUUCGAUCGGGACGAUAAUGACGGUACCG
RNAcentral lists this ribosomal RNA (416 nucleotides) under uncultured bacterium. RNAcentral describes it as "bacterial SSU rRNA". It matches the Rfam family "Bacterial small subunit ribosomal RNA", at positions 32 to 480 of the family's 1533-position model. The record is from RNAcentral.